This 499-nucleotide ribosomal RNA is filed under the name uncultured bacterium. Its description in RNAcentral is "bacterial SSU rRNA". It matches the Rfam family "Bacterial small subunit ribosomal RNA", at positions 8 to 502 of the family's 1533-position model. The record is from RNAcentral.
AGAGUUUGAUCCUGGCUCAGAUUGAACGCUGGCGGCAGGCUUAACACAUGCAAGUCGAGCGGUAACAGAGAUGCUUGCUAUCUGCUGACGAGCGGCGGACGGGUGAGUAAUGCUUGGGAAUAUGCCUUUGAGUGGGGGACAACAGUUGGAAACGACUGCUAAUACCGCAUAACGUCUACGGACCAAAGGGGGGGAUCUUCGGACCUCUCGCUCAUUGAUUAGCCCAAGUGAGAUUAGCUAGUUGGUAAGGUAAUGGCUUACCAAGGCGACGAUCUCUAGCUGGUUUGAGAGGAUGAUCAGCCACACUGGGACUGAGAUACGGCCCAGACUCCUACGGGAGGCAGCAGUAGGGAAUAUUGCGCAAUGGACGAAAGUCUGACGCAGCAACGCCGCGUGGGUGAUGACGCAUCUUGGUGUGUAAAACCCUGUCAGCGGGGAAGAACCGUAUAGGUAGUAACUGACCUAUGCCUGACGUACCCGCAGAGAAGUCCCGCUAACU